This 558-nucleotide ribosomal RNA is filed under the name Calocera viscosa. Its description in RNAcentral is "eukaryotic LSU rRNA". It matches the Rfam family "Eukaryotic large subunit ribosomal RNA", at positions 73 to 661 of the family's 3401-position model. Lineage: Eukaryota; Fungi; Basidiomycota; Dacrymycetes; Dacrymycetales; Dacrymycetaceae. The record is from RNAcentral.
GAUUCCCUAGUACUGCGAGUGAAGCGGGAAAAGCUCAAAUUUGUAAUCCGUCCCCAGACGGAGUUGUAAUCUAGAGAAGUGUUUUCGGCCGUUGUCUCGGACAAGUCCCCUGAAACAGGGCGUCAUAGAGGGUAACAAUCCCGUCCUUACCGAGGUCGCAAUGUCUAUGUGAUACACUCUCGAAGAGUCGAGUUGUUUGGGAAUGCAGCUCAAAAUGGGUGGUAAAUUCCAUCUAAAGCUAAAUAUUGGCGAGAGACCGAUAGCGAACAAGUACCGUGAGGGAAAGAUGAAAAGCACUUUGGAAAGAGAGUUAAACAGUACGUGAAAUUGCUAAAAGGGAAGCGCUUGAAGUCAGUCGCGUCGUUAGAGACUCAACCUCACGGUGUAUUUCUCUGGUGACGGGCCAACAUCGAUUUUGGGCGUGGGAAAAUGGUAUUUAUGGAAUGUGGCAGCUUCGGCUGUGUUAUAGCCCCGUAUCGUACACCACGCCCGGGAUCGAGGACCGCGGCUCUGCCUAGGAUGUUGGCGUAAUGGCUUUAAGCGACCCGUCUUGAACCA